GAUACCCUACUAUGCCUAGCCUUAAACUUUGAUAGUACCAACUACUAUCCGCCAGAGAAUUACGAGCGAAAAGCUUAAAACUCAAAAGACUUGACGGUGCCCCAAACCAACCUAGAGGAGCCUGUCCUAUAAUCGAUGACCCACGCUUCACCUCACCUGCCCUCGCAUUAAUCAGCCAGCCUAUAUACCGCCGCCUUCCCGCCUACCUUGUAAAAGUAGCACAGCAAGCAAAAUAGCUCUUUCGCUAGAACGUCAGGUCAAGGUGUAGCUAAUGAGCAGGAGAGAGAUGGGCUACAUUCUCUAUUGAUAUAGACCAUAACCACCGGUAUUAUGAAAACAUACCUCAAAGGAGGAUUUAGUAGUAAUUUAGGCAAGAAUUCCUAAAUGAAUCCUGCCCUGGGGCGCGUACACACCGCCGGUCCACCCUCAAA
This 431-nucleotide ribosomal RNA is filed under the name Trachydactylus hajarensis. RNAcentral describes it as "partial small subunit ribosomal RNA". It matches the Rfam family "Bacterial small subunit ribosomal RNA", at positions 781 to 1408 of the family's 1533-position model. Lineage: Eukaryota; Metazoa; Chordata; Lepidosauria; Squamata; Gekkonidae. The record is from RNAcentral.